AGAGUUUGAUCCUGGCUCAGAAUGAACGCUGGCGGCGUGCUUAACACAUGCAAGUCGUACGAGAACGCUUCAGCUUGCUGAAGCUAGUAAAGUGGCGUACGGGUGAGUAACGCGUGGGUAAUCUACCUUCGAAUUGGGGAUAACGUUGCGAAAGUGACGCUAAUACCGGAUAAUAUCAUAGAGACCUUGGUUUUUAUGAUCAAAGAUGGCCUCUCCUUGGAAGCUAUUGUUUGGAGAUGAGCCCGCGUCCCAUUAGCUUGUUGGUGGGGUAAUGGCCUACCAAGGCAACGAUGGGUAGCUGGUCUGAGAGGAUGAUCAGCCACACUGGAACUGACACACGGUCCAGACUCCUACGGGAGGCAGCAGUGAGGAAUUUUGCGCAAUGGGGGAAACCCUGACGCAGCAACGCCGCGUGAGUGAUGAAGGCUUUCGGGUCGUAAAGCUCUGUCAAGUGGGAAGAACUCCCGUGAGGUUAAUACCCUCAUGGUUUGACGGUACCACUGAAGGAAGCACCGGCUAACUCCGUGCCAGCAGCCGCGGUAAUACGGGGGGUGCAAGCGUUAUUCGGAUUUACUGGGCGUAAAGCGCGCGUAGGCGGCCGUUUAAGUCAGAUGUGAAAGCCCGGGGCUCAACCCCGGAAGUGCAUUUGAUACUAUUCGGCUUGAGUAUGGGAGAGGGAAGUGGAAUUCCUGGUGUAGAGGUGAAAUUCGUAGAUAUCAGGAGGAACACCGGUGGCGAAGGCGACUUCCUGGACCAAUACUGACGCUGAGGCGCGAAGGCGUGGGUAGCAGACAGGAUUAGAUACCCUGGUAGUCCACGCAGUAAACGGUGAUCACUAGGUGUAGCGGGUAUUGACCCCUGCUGUGCCGCAGCUAACGCAUUAAGUGAUCCGCCUGGGGAGUACGGCCGCAAGGUUAAAACUCAAAGGAAUUGACGGGGGCCCGCACAAGCGGUGGAGCAUGUGGUUUAAUUCGACGCAACGCGAAGAACCUUACCUGGAUUUGACAUCUCGGGAAUUUCUAUGAAAGUAGGAAGUGCCCUUCGGGGAGCCCGAUGACAGGUGCUGCAUGGCUGUCGUCAGCUCGUGUCGUGAGAUGUUGGGUUAAGUCCCGCAACGAGCGACAGGCAAGUCGUACUAGAGACCUCAAGCAUUAAUCUUCAUCUUUGCCCCCCUAGAUCGGAAGAGCACACGUCUGAACUCCAGUCACAUCUCGUAUGCCG
This 1221-nucleotide ribosomal RNA is filed under the name metagenome. Its description in RNAcentral is "bacterial SSU rRNA". It matches the Rfam family "Bacterial small subunit ribosomal RNA", at positions 8 to 1184 of the family's 1533-position model. The record is from RNAcentral.